UUAGAAAAUUAAGUAUCACAAUAUUUGAGUAAUGUUUUACAAGGACUUUAAGGUUUUUUGGAGAUGGAGGGGUACAUGGAAGUGGGCAUUCUAGAGAAUGCAGUGGAAGUUCUACAUGCUUUAUUUAAAAAUCCUCCCUCCUCCCCCGCCCCAUUUUUGGAUGUGCUUUAAUCUCUCCCCAGCAUCCUUUUCAUCCUGUCCACUGUGCCAGCCAACCUGAUGUGCUUUUAUGCUUUUGAAUUCCUGAGACACAGCCAGUACCUUGAACUCUGGAGAAUGACACUGAAAUAAUGUGAAAGAAUCCUUGAGAACCAAGUAAAUAACAGAUGAUGACGCUGAAGCAGAGACGGAAGAGGACUACUAUCGGAAUCACUUGCUAAGGAAGAGAUAGGAGCAUUCCAGCGACUGCCACAGACGGAAAAAAGGAACUGAGGAGGGGCCGGGCCGGCAGGUGCCUAUAUACCACACUAUAGAGGUGCCGCUCCAAGGGGCACCAGAGUCGACCUGACGGAUACCACUAGGGGAAAAUAGUCUUCAAGUGACGGUGCACACAAUGCGCACACACCUAUAUGGAAACGGACAUGAGCAAGCCGUCGAAGAAUAAGACUCUUGAAAAGCAAAACCAACAUCUUCCUAAGGUUUGGGACACAGAGAAAGCUGAGGGCUAGAGGUAUGGCGAGAGGACCCCUCCAUGUGAGAUUCCAGAGAUUUAAAAAAAAAAAAAAAUUUGAUUAUGCCCUCAAAGUAAAACACACAGAGGUGAAGGUAAGACGUGGAGGCAGCUUCUCUCCAGUAAGACACAAAAAGGUUGUAACUGGGGGUGAAUUAAGUGUAUAGAUGACUUCUCCCCAAGUGAGGCACCCCUCAAAUGCUAUCUGAGAACAAAAUAACCAGCUUCAGAUUAUGAAUACGGAAAUGGGAAUAAGCUCGACUUUAGCCUCAUCCUACUCAAAAAUAUUGUGUAACAGUCCAAAGCAGCAGUAAUAGUUUCAAACUGAUUCUCCUAGUCUCAGACUAAAAAUAAAGGCACUUCUUGUUUUUGGAAAGGUUGGUGAGGAUUGUUCAAGGUAACGAUGCCUGCAAACUACACAUACAUUUGGGUUUAGUAGAAUUCAUUCUGUUUCCAUAACCUUGGGAUGGAAGCAGGUUCUACUAAACCUUUUGUUUUAAGGAUUCAGGCAGACAAAGCAGAAGUAUCAUUCCAGUCAAUCCAAAGCCCCAAAGGCAAUGUAAGGAUCUUGAAUGGUGGUAUAACACUCAUGAGGAAGACUGAAGGAAGGACUGGUGCUUGUAAACAGACGUCACAACCAUAGGAAGUCACUGUACAUACCAGUUGGCUUUGAAGACAGAAGAUUGGUCAUCCCAAACUUUCUACUGAUGUUGUCUCGUGCCAUUUGAAAGGAGGUGCUAACUGUAGAUGCUGUGAUCCUUGCCAUGUAGCCCCAUCAUGGAGGAAAACAACGAAGCUUUUAGGUUGUAGUGAGAUGUGAUGUUAGUAAAAAGGCUUAUAUAAUAGGGUUUUAAUGCAGUUGGGAGUCACAGUGCGGUAGCCAUCUAUCAUGGAGAGCAAAGAAGGAGCUUAUCUGUACAAGAAUUCAAGAGCACACGGCUGUUCUGCUUGAAGAAUUUCCCUUCCCAUCCCAUAUAACCCCCUCCUUUCAGCCACAAUGGACGAUGCCUAUCAGUCAAGG
Molecule: long non-coding RNA, 1691 nt
Organism: Mauremys reevesii (Reeves's turtle)
Lineage: Eukaryota; Metazoa; Chordata; Testudines; Geoemydidae
Exons: 3
Source: RefSeq, a predicted model, not a curated record